UUCUGGUUGAUCCUGCCGGACCUGAUUGCUAUCGGAUUGAUACUAAGCCAUGCGAGUCUUUGUAGUAAUACAAGGCAUACGGCUCAGUAACGCGUAGUCAACCUACCCUAUGGACAAGAAUAAUCUCGGGAAACUGAGCAUAAUUCUUGAUAGAUCAUAAUGCCUGGAAUGGUUUAUGGUUAAAAUGAUUCGUCGCCAUAGGAUGGGACUGCGGCCUAUCAGCUUGUUGGUGAGGUAAUGGCCCACCAAGGCGAUUACAGGUACGGGCUCUGAGAGGAGAAGCCCGGAGAUGGGUACUGAGACAAGGACCCAGGCCCUAUGGGGCGCAGCAGGCGAGAAAACUUUGCAAUGUGCGAAAGCACGACAAGGUUAAUCCGAGUGAUUUCUGCUAAAGAAAUCUUUUGCAAGUCAUAAAACCACUAGUGAAUAAGGGGUGGGCAAGUUCUGGUGUCAGCCGCCGCG
This 462-nucleotide ribosomal RNA is filed under the name uncultured marine group I thaumarchaeote. Its description in RNAcentral is "bacterial SSU rRNA". It matches the Rfam family "Archaeal small subunit ribosomal RNA", at positions 1 to 469 of the family's 1478-position model. Lineage: Archaea; Thermoproteati; Nitrososphaerota. The record is from RNAcentral.